Molecule: long non-coding RNA, 5701 nt
Organism: Salvelinus namaycush (lake trout)
Lineage: Eukaryota; Metazoa; Chordata; Actinopteri; Salmoniformes; Salmonidae
Exons: 3
Source: RefSeq, a predicted model, not a curated record
CCUCUCUCUGUUGCUAAUGAUGCAACAAGGACCUGAACACAAUCUAACGAUUAGGAUUUAUUAGUUUAUAAAAAAGUGUUUUCAAGAUGUCUUUCAUUUGAGUGGUUGAACGUGGAGGUGUUUCUCUCUCUGCCCUGUGAAUGAAUUGAUGGACUCAAUAAAAAGGGCUGGCUUGACAUUUUUUCUAGAUUUUUCUGUUGUGGAGGAAAUGGGGAUGGUUGAGGAAGGAUGUGUUUUAGUUUGAAGUGACAUACAGGGCAGACCGCUGUAACGGUGUCCCUGGUUUAUUCUGCAUUUACUUUACCUUCUGUUCCAGUUGUACCCCUGUCCCUCAGAACGCUGUGAGGUACCCCUGUCCCUCAGAACGUUGUGAGGUACCCCUGUCCCUCAGACCGCUGUGAGGUACCCCUGUCCCUCAGAACGUUGUGAGGUACCCCUGUCCCUCUGAACGUUGUGAGGUACCCCUGUCCCUCAGACCGCUGUGAGGUACCCCUGUCCCUCAGACCGCUGUGAGGUACCCCUGUCCCUCUGAACGCUGUGAGGUACCCCUGUCCCUCAGACCGCUGUGAGGUACCCCUGUCCCUCAGACCGCUGUGAGGUACCCCUGUCCCUCAGACCGCUGUGAGGUACCCCUGUCCCUCAGACCGCUGUGAGGUACCCCUGUCCCUCAGACCGCUGUGAGGUACCCCUGUCCCUCAGAACGUUGUGAGGUACCCCUGUCCCUCUGAACGUUGUGAGGUACCCCUGUCCCUCAGAACGUUGUGAGGUACCCCUGUCCCUCAGAACGUUGUGAGGUACCCCUGUCCCUCAGAACGUUGUGAGGUACCCCUGUCCCUCAGAACGUUGUGAGGUACCCCUGUCCCUCAGAACGUUGUGAGGUACCCCUGUCCCUCAGAACGUUGUGAGGUACCCCUGUCCCUCAGAACGUUGUGAGGUACCCCUGUCCCUCUGAACGUUGUGAGGUACCCCUGUCCCUCUGAACGCUGUGAGGUACCCCUGUCCCUCAGAACGCUGUGAGGUACCCCUGUCCCUCAGAACGCUGUGAGGUACCCCUGUCCCUCAGAACGCUGUGAGGUACCCCUGUCCCUCAGAACGCUGUGAGGUACCCCUGUCCCUCAGAACGUUGUGAGGUACCCCUGUCCCUCAGAACGUUGUGAGGUACCCCUGUCCCUCAGAACGUUGUGAGGUACCCCUGUCCCUCAGAACGUUGUGAGGUACCCCUGUCCCUCAGAACGUUGUGAGGUACCCCUGUCCCUCAGAACGUUGUGAGGUACCCCUGUCCCUCAGAACGUUGUGAGGUACCCCUGUCCCUCAGAACGUUGUGAGGUACCCCUGUCCCUCAGAACGUUGUGAGGUACCCCUGUCCCUCAGAACGUUGUGAGGUACCCCUGUCCCUCAGAACGCUGUGAGGUACCCCUGUCCCUCAGAACGCUGUGAGGUACCCCUGUCCCUCAGAACGCUGUGAGGUACCCCUGUCCCUCAGAACGCUGUGAGGUACCCCUGUCCCUCAGAACGCUGUGAGGUACCCCUGUCCCUCAGAACGCUGUGAGGUACCCCUGUCCCUCAGAACGCUGUGAGGUACCCCUGUCCCUCAGAACGCUGUGAGGUACCCCUGUCCCUCUGAACGUUGUGAGGUACCCCUGUCCCUCUGAACGUUGUGAGGUACCCCUGUCCCUCUGAAUGUUGUGAGGUACCCCUGUCCCUCUGAAUGUUGUGAGGUACCCCUGUCCCUCUGAACGUUGUGAGGUACCCCUGUCCCUCUGAAUGUUGUGAGGUACCCCUGUCCCUCUGAAUGUUGUGAGGUACCCCUGUCCCUCUGAAUGUUGUGAGGUACCCCUGUCCCUCUGAAUGUUGUGAGGUACCCCUGUCCCUCAGAACGCUGUGAGGUACCCCUGUCCCUCUGAACGCUGUGAGGUACCCCUGUCAGGAUGUCCUGAACGUCAGGACCUAAAUUCCUAGUGUUUCAGUGCUGAUGGAGGAUGUAAUGAAUAAGAAGAGGUCGGACUGCUUCUAGAUCAGAUAUGCUAUGUGAACACAAGCCCUGAACAAGGUUCUCCUCUACCCCCAGUCCCCUCAGAAAGAAUAGGACCUGCCCUGAACAAGGUUCUCCUCUACCCCCAGUCCCCUCAGAAAGAAUAGGACCUGCCCUGAACAAGGUUCUCCUCUACCCCCAGUCCCCUCAGAAAGAAUAGGACCUGCUCUGAACAAGGUUCUCCUCUACCCUCAGAAAGAAUAGGACCUGCCCUGAACAAGGUUCUCCUCUACCCUCAGUCCCCUCAGAAAGAAUAGGACCUGCUCUGAACAAGGUUCUCCUCUACCCUCAGAAAGAAUAGGACCUGCCCUGAACAAGGUUCUCCUCUACCCCCAGUCCCCUCAGAAAGAAUAGGACCUGCUCUGAACAAGGUUCUCCUCUACCCUCAGAAAGAAUAGGACCUGCUCUGAACAAGGUUCUCCUCUACCCUCAGAAAGAAUAGGACCUGCCCUGAACAAGGUUCUCCUCUACCCUCAGAAAGAAUAGGACCUGCUCUGAACAAGGUUCUCCUCUACCCUCAGAAAGAAUAGGACCUGCCCUGAACAAGGUUCUCCUCUACCCUCAGAAAGAAUAGGACCUGCUCUGAACAAGGUUCUCCUCUACCCUCAGAAAGAAUAGGACCUGCCCUGAACAAGGUUCUCCUCUACCCUCAGAAAGAAUAGGACCUGCCCUGAACAAGGUUCUCCUCUACCCUCAGAAAGAAUAGGACCUGCCCUGAACAAGGUUCUCCUCUACCCUCAGAAAGAAUAGGACCUGCUCUGAACAAGGUUCUCCUCUACCCUCAGAAAGAAUAGGACCUGCCCUGAACAAGGUUCUCCUCUACCCUCAGUCCCCUCAGAAAGAAUAGGACCUGGUUUAACAAACAUCUGUUUGUUCUCAGAUUUUUUUAGAUCACAUGACAGGAACUGCAUCUCAGCUGUACUGUCUGUUGGUGGGGGGCGCUUAACAGAAGGUCCCUGGUCAACAUGUGUGCACUAUAUAGGGGGCCAUUUUGUGACCGAGCGAAGUCAUCCACUCUACCCUCAACUGGAGAAAUCUGGAGCAGACUGACUGGAGAAAUGUUUACCCCGGUGUUCGUUACGACACGUCACUUUCAGAAGGACUUUACUAGCGAAUCAAAAUGUAAAUAUUACGUUUUUUAAAAGAAGGAAUGAUAUGUUGGGAUGUAAAUAAAUUAGUUUCAUGGUUUAGUGUUUUUAUUUUGAACUUGAUUUCCUAUUCUGAAAAGAUCUAAUAUUAAAGUUUAGUCUUUAGAUAAAGGGUCUGGUCAUGAUGUAAUAUUAAAGGUUAGUCUUUAGAUAAAGGGUCUGGUCAUGAUGUAAUAUUAAAGGUUAGUCUUUAGAUAAAGGGUCUGGUCAUGAUGUAAUAUUAAAGGUUAGUGUUUAGAUAAAGGGUCUGGUCAUGAUGUAAUAUUAAAGGUUAGUCUUUAGAUAAAGGGUCUGGUCAUGAUGUAAUAUUAAAGGUUAGUCUUUAGAUAAAGGGUCUGGUCAUGAUCUAAUAUUAAAGGUUAGUCUUUAGAUAAAGGGUCUGGUCAUGAUGUCAUAUUAAAGGUUAGUCUUUAGAUAAAGGGUCUGGUCAUGAUGUAAUAUUAAAGGUUAGUCUUUAGAUAAAGGGUCUGGUCAUGAUGUAAUAUUAAAGGUUAGUCUUUAGAUAAAGGGUCUGGUCAUGAUGUAAUAUUAAAGGUUAGUGUUUAGAUAAAGGGUCUGGUCAUGAUGUAAUAUUAAAGGUUAGUCUUUAGAUAAAGGGUCUGGUCAUGAUGUCAUAUUAAAGGUUAGUCUUUAGAUAAAGGGUCUGGUCAUGAUCUAAUAUUAAAGGUUAGUCUUUAGAUAAAGGGUCUGGUCAUGAUGUCAUAUUAAAGGUUAGUCUUUAGAUAAAGGGUCUGGUCAUGAUGUAAUAUUAAAGGUUAGUCUUUAGAUAAAGGGUCUGGUCAUGAUGUAAUAUUAAAGGUUAGUCUUUAGAUAAAGGGUCUGGUCAUGAUGUAAUAUUAAAGGUUAGUCUUUAGAUAAAGGGUCUGGUCAUGAUCUAAUAUUAAAGGUUAGUCUUUAGAUAAAGGGUCUGGUCAUGAUCUAAUAUUAAAGGUUAGUCUUUAGAUAAAGGGUCUGGUCAUGAUCUAAUAUUAAAGGUUAGUCUUUAGAUAAAGGGUCUGGUCAUGAUGUAAUAUUAAAGGUUAGUGUUUAGAUAAAGGGUCUGGUCAUGAUGUAAUAUUAAAGGUUAGUCUUUAGAUAAAGGGUCUGGUCAUGAUGUAAUAUUAAAGGUUAGUCUUUAGAUAAAGGGUCUGGUCAUGUCAUAUUAAAGGUUAGUCUUUAGAUAAAGGGUCUGGUCAUGAUGUAAUAUUAAAGGUUAGUCUUUAGAUAAAGGGUCUGGUCAUGAUCUAAUAUUAAAGGUUAGUCUUUAGAUAAAGGGUCUGGUCAUGAUGUAAUAUUAAAGGUUAGUCUUUAGAUAAAGGGUCUGGUCAUGAUGUCAUAUUAAAGGUUAGUCUUUAGAUAAAGGGUCUGGUCAUGAUGUCAUAUUAAAGGUUAGUCUUUAGAUAAAGGGUCUGGUCAUGAUGUAAUAUUAAAGGUUAGUUUUUAGAUAAAGGGUCUGGUCAUGAUGUAAUAUUAAAGGUUAGUCUUUAGAUAAAGGGUCUGGUCAUGAUGUAAUAUUAAAGGUUAGUCUUUAGAUAAAGGGUCUGGUCAUGAUCUAAUAUUAAAGGUUAGUCUUUAGAUAAAGGGUCUGGUCAUGAUGUAAUAUUAAAGGUUAGUCUUUAGAUAAAGGGUCUGGUCAUGAUGUCAUAUUAAAGGUUAGUCUUUAGAUAAAGGGUCUGGUCAUGAUGUCAUAUUAAAGGUUAGUCUUUAGAUAAAGGGUCUGGUCAUGAUGUAAUAUUAAAGGUUAGUCUUUAGAUAAAGGGUCUGGUCAUGAUCUAAUAUUAAAGGUUAGUCUUUAGAUAAAGGGUCUGGUCAUGAUGUAAUAUUAAAGGUUAGUCUUUAGAUAAAGGGUCAUGAUGUAAUAUUAAAGGUUAGUCUUUAGAUAAAGGGUCUGGUCAUGAUGUAAUAUUAAAGGUUAGUCUUUAGAUAAAGGGUCUGGUCAUGAUGUAAUAUUAAAGGUUAGUCUUUAGAUAAAGGGUCUGGUCAUGAUGUAAUAUUAAAGGUUAGUCUUUAGAUAAAGGGUCAUGAUGUAAUAUUAAAGGUUAGUCUUUAGAUAAAGGGUCUGGUCAUGAUGUAAUAUUAAAGGUUAGUCUUUAGAUAAAGGGUCUGGUCAUGAUGUCAUAUUAAAGGUUAGUCUUUAGAUAAAGGGUCUGGUCAUGAUGUAAUAUUAAAGGUUAGUCUUUAGAUAAAGGGUCUGGUCAUGAUGUCAUAUUAAAGGUUAGUCUUUAGAUAAAGGGUCUGGUCAUGAUGUCAUAUUAAAGGUUAGUCUUUAGAUAAAGGGUCUGGUCAUGAUGUAAUAUUAAAGGUUAGUCUUUAGAUAAAGGGUCUGGUCAUGAUGUAAUAUUAAAGGUUAGUCUUUAGAUAAAGGGUCUGGUCAUGAUGUAAUAUUAAAGGUUAGUCUUUAGAUAAAGGCUCGAGCAGCAUGAUCCAUGUAUGAACGGACUUAAACCAGACAACAGCAUUUUAUACCCAGCUGUUACUGACAAUUCAGCUUAACCAAUGAGAAUGCAAACCUGCCUGUUAAAUACACUGCUCAAAAAAAUAA